GGGAAUAUGGCUCAGUGGUAGGGCACUUGCCUAGCAUGUGUGAAGCCUUGGGUUCAAUUCUGAGUACUACCA
This 72-nucleotide transfer RNA is filed under the name Heterocephalus glaber (naked mole-rat). It matches the Rfam family "tRNA". Rfam says of the family: Transfer RNA (tRNA) molecules are approximately 80 nucleotides in length. Their secondary structure includes four short double-helical elements and three loops (D, anti-codon, and T loops). The record is from Rfam by way of RNAcentral. Lineage: Eukaryota; Metazoa; Chordata; Mammalia; Rodentia; Bathyergidae.